Molecule: long non-coding RNA, 304 nt
Organism: Rattus rattus (black rat)
Lineage: Eukaryota; Metazoa; Chordata; Mammalia; Rodentia; Muridae
Exons: 2
Source: RefSeq, a predicted model, not a curated record
GAGGGCUGCCGAGGCCUCGGGGCUGCCGAAGACGUGAGGAAAAGCUACCUUCAGCAAAAGGUUUUCCUGGAGAGAGAUCUCACUUCUCAGCACCCAAGGCAGAAUGUCCACAACCACUUGUGAAUUCACUUCUGAACUCUGCAGGAACCUGCACUCGCGCAUUUACCUACACAUAAAUUAGUGGAACUAUCUGAAGACCAGGCUGGCCUUGAACUCCGAGGUUUUGCCUGAUUCUGCUCCAGUGUGCUGGGACUAAAGACAUUGGGGGUUGGGGGGGUGUCUAAAUAAAUUUUUUUUAAAAAAA